GAUGAACGCUGGCGGCGUGCCUAAUACAUGCAAGUCGAGCGAACGGACGAGAAGCUUGCUUUUCUGAUGUUAGCGGCGGACGGGUGAGUAACACGUGGAUAACCUACCUAUAAGACUGGGAUAACUUCGGGAAACCGGAGCUAAUACCGGAUAAUAUUUUGAACCGCAUGGUUCAAAAGUGAAAGACGGUCUUGCUGUCACUUAUAGAUGGAUCCGCGCUGCAUUAGCUAGUUGGUAAGGUAACGGCUUACCAAGGCAACGAGGCAUAGCCGACCUGAGAGGGUGAUCGGCCACACUGGAACUGAGACACGGUCCAGACUCCUACGGGAGGCAGCAGUAGGGAAUCUUCCGAAAUGGGCGAAAGCCUGACGGAGCAACGCCGCGUGAGUGAUGAAGGUCUUCGGAUCGUAAAACUCUGUUAUUAGGGAAGAACAUAUGUGUAAGUAACUGUGCACAUCUUGACGGUACCUAAUCAGAAAGCCACGGCUAACUACGUG
This 497-nucleotide ribosomal RNA is filed under the name uncultured bacterium. RNAcentral describes it as "partial 16S ribosomal RNA". It matches the Rfam family "Bacterial small subunit ribosomal RNA", at positions 28 to 507 of the family's 1533-position model. The record is from RNAcentral.